GAUGAAGAACGUAGUGAAAUGCGAUAAGUAAUGCGAAUUGCAGAAUUUCCGUGAGUCAUCGAAUCUUUGAACGCACAUUGCGCCCCCUGGUAUUCCGGGGGGCAUGCCUGUCCGAGCGUCAUUGCUGCCCUCAAGCACGGCUUGUGUGUUGGGCCUCCGUCCUCCUCCCGGGGGACGGGCCCGAAAGGCAGCGGCGGCACCGCGUCCGGUCCUCGAGCGUAUGGGGCUUCGUCACCCGCUCUUGUAGGCCCGGCCGGCGCUUGCCGACACAUCAAUCUUUUUUCCAGGUUGACCUCGGAUCAGGUAGGGAUACCCGCUGAACUUAAGCAUAUCAAUAAGCGGAGGA
This 346-nucleotide unclassified non-coding RNA is filed under the name soil metagenome. RNAcentral's name for it is "partial contains 5.8S ribosomal RNA, internal transcribed spacer 2, and large subunit ribosomal RNA". The stretch from base 1 to 121 matches the Rfam family "5.8S ribosomal RNA", at positions 35 to 154 of the family's 154-position model. The record is from RNAcentral.